UACGUAGGGCGCAAGCGUUAUCCGGAAUUAUUGGGCGUAAAGAGCUCGUAGGCGGUUUGUCGCGUCUGCCGUGAAAGUCCGGGGCUCAACUCCGGAUCUGCGGGUGGGGUACGGGCAGACUAGAGGUGAUGUAGGGGAGACUGGAAUUCCUGGUGUAGCGGUGAAAUGCGCAGAUAUCAGGAGGAACACCGAUGGCGAAGGCAGGUCUCUGGGCAUUAACUGACGCUGAGGAGCGAAAGCAUGGGGAGCGAACAGG
This 256-nucleotide ribosomal RNA is filed under the name uncultured bacterium. RNAcentral's name for it is "partial 16S ribosomal RNA". It matches the Rfam family "Bacterial small subunit ribosomal RNA", at positions 524 to 776 of the family's 1533-position model. The record is from RNAcentral.